GCGCGGCCUCCGCCGAGUCCGGCCUGCCCGCACGGCACCGGAGCCGGGGACCCAACCGAGAACUUUGGGGUGAAUCGGCCUCACCGCCCUCGACGCGAGGACGGUCCGCCGUAGGGCAAACCUUCCGCGCCACACCGCCCGAACCCGACAGCUAACCCGGUAGGCGGAGCACUGGAAGGAGUC
Streptomyces coelicolor A3(2) is the source of this 183-nucleotide regulatory RNA element. It matches the Rfam family "c-di-AMP riboswitch aptamer (ydaO/yuaA leader)". From Rfam's summary of the family: This family represents a conserved RNA structure found upstream of the ydaO and yuaA genes in Bacillus subtilis and related genes in other bacteria. The ydaO/yuaA element is thought to act as a genetic "off" switch for the ydaO and yuaA genes in its native state. It is believed that the element may be triggered during osmotic shock leading to activation of ydaO, a predicted amino acid transporter gene, and members of the yuaA-yubG operon which code for KtrA and KtrB K+ transporters. The record is from Rfam. Lineage: Bacteria; Bacillati; Actinomycetota; Actinomycetes; Kitasatosporales; Streptomycetaceae.